Molecule: transfer RNA, 75 nt
Filed under: bacterium
Lineage: Bacteria
Also listed under: 3 other names
Description: tRNA-Val
Rfam family: tRNA
About the family: Transfer RNA (tRNA) molecules are approximately 80 nucleotides in length.
Source: RNAcentral
GGGCGCUUAGCUCAGCUGGUUAGAGCGCACGGUUCACAUCCGUGAGGUUCGGAGGUUCGAGUCCUCUAGCGCCCA